RNAcentral lists this small RNA (70 nucleotides) under Pristionchus pacificus. Its description in RNAcentral is "Nematode sRNA ceN72-3_ceN74-2". It matches the Rfam family "Nematode sRNA ceN72-3_ceN74-2". Lineage: Eukaryota; Metazoa; Nematoda; Chromadorea; Rhabditida; Neodiplogasteridae. The record is from Rfam by way of RNAcentral.
CGUCAAGGUCCGGAGUCUGUGGGUUAUCAAAUGGUUGACUUUCUCCCAUGGGCAUUCACUCGACCUGUAC